Molecule: long non-coding RNA, 790 nt
Organism: Asparagus officinalis (garden asparagus)
Lineage: Eukaryota; Viridiplantae; Streptophyta; Magnoliopsida; Asparagales; Asparagaceae
Exons: 4
Source: RefSeq, a predicted model, not a curated record
AUACAAACUUUGCUGAAAUUCUAACAAAAUCUAGGUGCAUGGGUGAAAAAGAUAAAUUUUGGCGUAUCAAAAUGUUAAAAAUACUUUGGUAGUAUUGCUGUCUAAAAUGGAAAAAUAGUAACGUUCUGAGUAUCAAAUUGAAAAUAAGUCAUAAUAUGAUAUUGGAUAUUUUGCUAAAAUGUUCUUCACUAGCUAGUCGGUUAAUAAUGAGGAUGCUCUGAAAAGUAUGUGAACCAUCAAAAUAAAACUUCAGCUUAGCAAAGCUACGAAAAGUAAAUCUUUGGAGGUAUGAAAGUGCAAAUAAGCCUUAUGUAAUUGAUAAAAUAGAAAAAAUAACAAAAGUAAUCGAAGGAUAAGAUCAGAGAUGGGCUGGACCUGACAUCACGACGACCGCCAGUCCGAGAACUCCCGUUCAAACUACUAAUGUUUCUCCUUUGGUCGUUAUCGUAUUCUCAACUUCCCCAAAUUUUUAAACAGCACUCAAGGUGUUUGUUUAAUUGCCUUUUAAAAAAAUACUAGCCCCGCCAAAGACCAGAGAAAAUUAACGGCACGGUGAAAAGACGUUGUAGGAGAAGCCCACGCCAUCCAAUAGUUGCUUCCUACUUGCAACAUUUGGAAGAGGGAGUGCGCUGUGAUUAUAACUGGGACUAAAGCACCACGUCGAAUUGCAGUGAGGAUAAGGUCUGCUGCUGGAAGAAACUCAACUUGCUGAAACUUUUGCCUGUGCAAGCGCUGAAAGCAAAUCAGGAAGGCUGAAGAUUGGGUCUUGAAGCAUUCGAAAAGUAGCCAA